CGGAGAUAAGGGGACCUCGAGUGCCAGGUUACAAAUCUGGCUGUCGUGAUGCAUAAAAAGCAUUGCAUAGCAAGGGCCGGGCAAGACCGGUGCCAGCCGCCGCGGUAACACCGGCGGCUCGAGUGGUAACCGUUAUUAUUGGGUCUAAAGGGUCUGUAGCCGGCCGGAUAAGUCUCUUGAGAAAUCCAGCAGCUCAACUGUUGGGCUUUCGGGAGAUACUGUUCGGCUCGAGGCCGGGAGAGGUGAGAGGUACUUCAGGGGUAGGGGUGAAAUCUUGUAAUCCUUGAAGGACCACCAGUGGCGAAGGCGUCUCACCAGAACGGACCUGACGGCAAGGGACGAAAGCUAGGGGCACGAACCGGAUUAGAUACCCGGGUAGUCCUAGCCGUAAACGAUACUCGCUAGGUGUCGGCCACGGUGCGACCGUUGUCGGUGCCGUAUGGAAGCCGUGAAGCGAGCCACCUGG
Molecule: ribosomal RNA, 466 nt
Filed under: uncultured archaeon
Lineage: Archaea
Description: bacterial SSU rRNA
Rfam family: Archaeal small subunit ribosomal RNA
Source: RNAcentral